CCUACAUGAAGUCGGAAUUGCUAGUAAUCGCGGAUCAGCAUGCCGCGGUGAAUACGUUCCCGGGCCCUUGUACACACCGCCCGUCACACCAUGGAAGUUGGUAACACCCGAAGCCUGUAGCCUAACCGCAAGGAGGGCGCAGUCGAAGGUGGGAUUGAUGACUGGGGUGAAGUCGUAACAAGGUAUC
This 187-nucleotide ribosomal RNA is filed under the name uncultured bacterium. RNAcentral describes it as "partial 16S ribosomal RNA". It matches the Rfam family "Bacterial small subunit ribosomal RNA", at positions 1315 to 1500 of the family's 1533-position model. The record is from RNAcentral.